RNAcentral lists this ribosomal RNA (253 nucleotides) under uncultured bacterium. Its description in RNAcentral is "partial 16S ribosomal RNA". It matches the Rfam family "Bacterial small subunit ribosomal RNA", at positions 524 to 776 of the family's 1533-position model. The record is from RNAcentral.
UACGAAGGGUGCAAACGUCGCUCGGAAUUAUUGGGCGUAAAGCGCACGUAGGCGGCUCUGUAAGUCGGGUGUGAAAUCCCUCGGCUUAACCAAGGAAGUGCAUCCGAAACUGCGGAGCUUGAGUACUUAAGAGGAUCGCGGUAUUCCCGGUGUAGAGGUGAAAUUCGUAGAUAUCGGGAGGAACACCAGUGGCGAAGGCGGCGAUCUGGGAAGAUACUGACGCUGAGGUGCGAAAGCGUGGGGAGCAAACAGG